RNAcentral lists this ribosomal RNA (1342 nucleotides) under Luehdorfia chinensis. RNAcentral's name for it is "16S ribosomal RNA". The stretch from base 1094 to 1252 matches the Rfam family "Eukaryotic large subunit ribosomal RNA", at positions 2825 to 2984 of the family's 3401-position model. The record is from RNAcentral. Lineage: Eukaryota; Metazoa; Arthropoda; Insecta; Lepidoptera; Papilionidae.
AUUAGGGGAUAAAUUAAUAAUAAAUAAUUAAUAAAAAAAAUUUUAAUAUAAAAAUAUUUAAUGGGGGGUAAAGUAUUUUUAAUAGAAAAAAUUUUUAAAUUUAUAAAGAAAUAGUAUUGUAAAAGAAAUUUGAAAUAUAAUGAAAAAAAAAAUUUUAAAAAAGUAAAUUUUAUUUAUUGUAUCUUGUGUAUCAGAGUUUAUUAAUAAAUAUUUUUAUUUAAAAGUUUCUCGAAUUUAAAAGAGUUAAUUAAUUAUUAAAGUUAAUGUUGAAUAAUUAUUUUAAAUAAUUAAUUAGAAAUGAAAUGUUAAUCGUUUUUAAAUAUAUCUAGUUUUUUUAGAAAAAAAUUUAAUUUUAAAUAAUAAUAAAGUAAUUUUUAUUUUUAUAAAAAUUACAAAUUAUUAUUAAAUAUUUUAGGGGAUAAGCUUUAAAAUAAAUUUUUAUAAAUAUGAAAAUUUUUAAUUAAUAAAAUUUUUAGAAUUUAUAUUGGAAAUAAAUUAUAAUUUUUUAUAAAUAAUUUUAUUAAAAAUAAAAUUUAAAUUAAAUUUAAUUUAUUAUAAAAAUAUAAUUUAUAAUUAAAAAAUAUUAAAAAAAAUGAUAUAAAUUAGUAUAUAAUUUUUUUUUUUCCCCAUAAAAAGUUUUAAAGAUAAUUUUUUAAAAAGGAAUUCGGCAAAUAUUUAUAUUCACUUGUUUAUCAAAAACAUGUCUUUUUUGUUUUUAAUUUAAAGUUUAAUCUGCCCCCUGAUAAAUAUAUUGAAGGGCUGCAGUAUUUUGACCGUACAAAGGUAGCAUAAUCAUUAGUCUUUUAAUUGGUGACUUGUAUGAAGGAUUUAAUGAAAUAUAUACUGUCUCUUUUGAAUUUGUAGAAUUUAAUUUUUUAGUUAAAAAGCUAAAAUUUAUUUAAAAGACGAGAAGACCCUAUAGAGUUUAAUAUUUAUAAUAAUUUUAAUUUUAUAUAAAAAUUUUUUACAUUAAAAUUAUUAAAAUUAUUUUGUUGGGGUGAUAGAAAAAUUAAAUUAACUUUUUUUAUAAAUUAACAUUAAUUUAUGGAUAAAUGAUCCGUAAUUUACGAUUAUAAGAUAAAAUUACCUUAGGGAUAACAGCGUAAUUUUUUUUUUUAGUUCAUAUAAAAAAAAAAGUUUGCGACCUCGAUGUUGGAUUAAGAUAAAAUUUAAAUGCAAAAGUUUAAAAUUUUGAUCUGUUCGAUCAUUAAAAUCUUACAUGAUCUGAGUUCAAACCGGUGUAAGCCAGGUUGGUUUCUAUCUUUAAUUUAAUUAAAUAUUUUAGUACGAAAGGAAUAAAUAUUUAAAAUAAUUUUGUUAAAAAGAAUUUUAUUAAUUUAUU